Hypoxylon sp. CI-4A is the source of this 135-nucleotide non-coding RNA. Lineage: Eukaryota; Fungi; Ascomycota; Sordariomycetes; Xylariales; Hypoxylaceae. The record is from the annotation of a GenBank genome assembly.
GGCGCAGUGGCGGAGUGGUCUAACGCGCAAGACUCGAAUUAACCUAGACUACUACUAGGUGGCUAAAAACCAUCUUCUAGGGAAAUUUGCUAUCUUGUUCCUUCGGGAGCGCCCGUUCGAAUCGGGCCUGCGUCG